This 254-nucleotide ribosomal RNA is filed under the name uncultured bacterium. RNAcentral describes it as "partial 16S ribosomal RNA". It matches the Rfam family "Bacterial small subunit ribosomal RNA", at positions 524 to 776 of the family's 1533-position model. The record is from RNAcentral.
UACGAAGGGGGCUAGCGUUGCUCGGAAUCACUGGGCGUAAAGGGUGCGUAGGCGGGUUCUUAAGUCAGAGGUGAAAUCCUGGAGCUCAACUCCAGAACUGCCUCCGAUACUGGGAGCCUUCGAGUCCGGGAGAGGUGAGUGGAACUGCGAGUGUAGAGGUGAAAUUCGUAGAUAUUCGCAAGAACACCAGUGGCGAAGGCGGCUCACUGGCCCGGUACUGACGCUGAGGUGCGAAAGCGUGGGGAGCAAACAGG